CUUAGAAUUUUGGUAAGACAAAUGACCUUCCUGGUGGCUCUUAAUAGACAAAGAUAUCUCCCUGACUCUGGGAGCAUAAUUAAAGGAUCCUCUCAAUUUAAAUUGCUUGUAUAAAAAUAUACAAUAUGCAGCAAAAUGUUUAGGCAGUUAAAAUUCUUCCUUUCCGUUUGAGUGAUUAAUUGUGAGCCAAUAUGUAGCAAAGCAAAACUGAUUUCUUGGCAGAAUUGUUUUUAUUUUUUAGCGUUUCCCUAGGAAUUAACUUAGAAACUGAAAACUCAUAAUUUGCAAGUGUAAAAAUACUAACCAAGAAAGUCAGUAAAAAUUACGUACCAUGUAUAUUAUUGGUGAAUUUUCUGGAUUUUCAUUUUUUACUUUAAGGUAUUAAAGGAUGCUUUUUUGCUUUAAGGUAUUAAAGGAUGCCUAUUACUGACAGAGUAAUUUUCAAAGCCAUUUAU
RNAcentral lists this long non-coding RNA (455 nucleotides) under Bos taurus (domestic cattle). Its description in RNAcentral is "long non-coding RNA NONBTAT025481". The record is from RNAcentral. Lineage: Eukaryota; Metazoa; Chordata; Mammalia; Artiodactyla; Bovidae.